This 468-nucleotide ribosomal RNA is filed under the name uncultured bacterium. RNAcentral describes it as "partial 16S ribosomal RNA". It matches the Rfam family "Bacterial small subunit ribosomal RNA", at positions 28 to 507 of the family's 1533-position model. The record is from RNAcentral.
GACGAACGCUGGCGGCGUGCUUAACACAUGCAAGUCGAACGGAAAGGCCCUGCUUUUGUGGGGUGCUCGAGUGGCGAACGGGUGAGUAACACGUGAGUAACCUGCCCUUGACUUUGGGAUAACUUCAGGAAACUGGGGCUAAUACCGGAUAGGAGCUCCUGCUGCAUGGUGGGGGUUGGAAAGUUUCGGCGGUUGGGGAUGGACUCGCGGCUUAUCAGCUUGUUGGUGGGGUAGUGGCUUACCAAGGCAUUGACGGGUAGCCGGCCUGAGAGGGUGACCGGCGACCAUACGACUGCGGGACGGCGCAGAGGCCAACUGUGGACAGCAGUGGGGAAUCUUACACAAUGAGCGCACGUGUGAUACGGCAGCGCUGCGUGCGGGAUGACGGCCUUUGGGUUGUAAACCGCUUUUGCCUGUGAAGGAGCGGGAAUGACGGUACUGGAUGAAGAAGCACCGGCUAACUACGUG